Molecule: long non-coding RNA, 3219 nt
Filed under: Mustela putorius furo (domestic ferret)
Lineage: Eukaryota; Metazoa; Chordata; Mammalia; Carnivora; Mustelidae
Description: lncRNA (ENSMPUG00000024046.1)
Source: RNAcentral
CAUUUUUGAGAAGACACCCACAUUUUCAGCUUAUGUUUCUCCUUUGUGUUUUCAGAUUGUUCACUUCCUUUGGUAUUUCUAGAACUCAACUGCAGGAAGACAACUAUGCUUGAGGAUGCCAGUAAAGCAAGGAUAAAGAAUCAUAUACCAGGUGGAUGAAGAAAAGUGCAGGCCAAAUUGAGGAGAAAACUAAUGGGAACCACAUGGCAGCCAUUAUCUAGUUUAAAGAACAGUAGAUCAGCCUCUGGAGACCCAGAUUUCUUUCUGUCUCUGCCUAUAACUCACUGUGUGAACUCAGGUAAGCAGCUUAACUUCUCUGGGCUUUCUGAGUCUGAAUUUCUCACUGAUAUUCCUAUUGCCUUCUCUUACAGCAUUUUCUAUCAGUCUUUGGAACUAUUUAAAUGCUUUAUUUGAAUAAGUUUAAAUAUAUGCAUAGUACAGUGCUUAAGUACACGGACUCUGGGGUCAGUCUGACUAGCUCCCGCACAUACUAGCACUAGGAAGGUACGCAAAUUACCUAACUUGCCUGUACUUAGCUCUACUUAUUUGAGAAAUGGGGAUAAAAGGAUCUACUUUGUAUAGUUAUUAGGAGGAUUAAAAAAUGGCUAACACACCUGCAGCAUUUGAAAUCAUGCCUAGCACAGGGUAUAAGCCCCAUAAGGGAUAUGGAGAUGAAUACCUUUUUAAAGAGACUACAGUUUACUGGAGGAGAUUAAGACAUACACCAAAUAACAAGGAAGAGUAUGAUACAUAUUCCAUAGAGAAGAAAUUUUAGAACCUGAUGGACCACAGAGGAAGGAAUGAUUAAUUCCUAAUGAAAGGACCAAGGAGGGUCUCAUGAAUUAGGUCAAUAUCAUCCAGAGCAGGAGGAGUGAGCUGGCUAUCAAGGGAAGGGUUUCUUGAUAGAAGAAGUAAAAAGAGGCAGGGUGAAAAAAAUUCAGAAAGUACCCGAUGUGCAGCUCUUUUUAGCUGCAGUAUUGAUGCUGAGUGAGGGUGUGUACUGAGAGUUGAAGUUAAGAAAGGGACCUGGGAUGAGAUCAGUGAGGAGUUUAGGAGUAGGCGGUUGACGCUACCAGUAUUAAGAAGCACUGAAGGUCACUGGAGCUGAUAUCAUGCCACUUGUGAGCUAGGAAAGUCUCAGGUGGUUCCGUCAAGGUGAAGGUAGUGGAAAGAGAAACUAGAGUCAGGGAGAACAUUUAAGGGCCACAGGAACAGUCUAGUGAGAGAUUGUAAGGGUCUAAAUUGGGGAAGUGGUUGUUGGGGUCAAGAGAAGGGCUAGAAUUGGGAGCUGGGAAGGUAGGUGCUAUCUUAUAAACUCUCCUACCUGCCCAUCCUUUCUUUUUACUCUCCACUCUAGUUCUUUCUGCCUGUCCUCCCCGCUCCUCUGGCAUUCUCUCUAUGGUGAUCUACCUGUGCUCAGUGGCCCACAUGUAUCUAGUCAUAGAAGGGUUCAAAUGGCAAGCCCUCAGUGAACUAAGAAGCCAGGAGCUUGUAUUCCCGCAUAUUUAAGGGAGAGGAUGUUUGAGCAGAAAACAACCACACAACAAAUAGCUUUUGUUUAUGUGGGGAGAGGUUUUCAAGCAAUAAUUAAUCUGAAAGGCUUCCUUUCCUUGCAGGAAUCCAACGACUGAAAGGUGCAUUUAAGUCUCUUCAUUAUAUAUCUGCCAUGGAUAGUGCAUAGCAGGAGUUGUGUGUGUGUGGCGGGGGUAGAUUUCAUAAUACAGCAUUUGUGGUGUGGAGAACACUCUUAUCAUUGUCUGGGUUUGUGUCAUAGCAAAUAGGAAAGGGACCAUUUAGAUCGAAAGAAAUAACUAUUAUAGACAGUACCUAUGUGUUGCAGGGUAGACGUUCUCUCUACUUGAAAGAAUGCCUUAUAAGCAAUUGAAGGUCAUUAAUUAGUUAUACCUGGUUGGAUAAAAGAAGGUGAAAUUCAGGAAUCUGUGCAAAGUACAAAUCAGAAACCAGUCAGUGAAUACUGCAACAGAAUAACAAAAGGAGAUCAGAACCAGGUAGAAACAAAGUUAAUAAUUUUAGAGUGACAAUGGUGCCCUGGUGAAAAGAGACUGUUAAUGUAUCCCAGAACCACAAUGUCCCAAUUAUUCUCCACUGACAUAUGUGGUAUGCACAUGUGCAUCUACGUAUCUAUGUAUCUAAUCUAUCUAUAUUUGCAUAGGUGUAGAUACAUCAUAUAACACAUAAUAUAUAUAAGUAAAAGAUAAUUCAUUCAUUCAACAAGUGUUUGCUGAACACUUACUGUGUGCCAGACAUUCUCCUAGGUACUACAGAUAAAACAUCCAACAAAAACAGACCAUAUCCUAAAGAGCUUAUAUUUAGUAGGGGAGACAGACAAGAAAUACCCAUGAAGUCAGGUGACGAUAGGUACUAAGAAAAAAAAAGAGAACACAUUAAGUGGCGAAUGAGAGGUAGAGGGAAGGCUGUGUUUUGUUUAUUAUGUUAGGACGGCCUCCUUAGUAAGGCAAAUAUUUGAGGGGAGACUUGCAGAGACCUGGGAAAGAAAAGUAGUCCAGUCAGAGGGGAUAGGAAGUGAUGAGCUCUGAGGAGAUGUCUUGGUGUUAUUGAGGAACAACAAUGAGGCAGGGUAGUGGGAGGAGAGGGAGGGAGAAGGGAAUGGUAGAUGCGGUCAGAGGAGUAGCUAGGUCUUUCAUGACCUCCUAGAGCAUAGUAAAGACUUUGGAUUUUACUCUGAGUGAGCUGGGAGGCUUCUAGAGGCUUAUUAUAAUGCUAAUCACAUAGGGUUAAUUUUACUACUUCCAUCUAGAACUUUAUGAUUCCAUUUUUGCAUCUAUACAUUUCUAAAAUUAGGCAGGUCACCAUCUAGCCCUCUUUUGUCCUGCUGGCUUCUUUCUCAUCCAUAGUGCUUCAGCAAAGGCAGCUCUGGAUUCUGUUCUGGUGCCUGCCACUGAAUCCUUGGAUAGUUUCAGUAAGUUACCCUUCUUAUUCGGUUCUCCUAUCAAAAAAAUAAAAUAAUAAAAUAAAAUAAAAUAAAAUCAGAAUACUUUCACCAAACUCAUGUUAUUAAAGAUUUAACAAGAAAAAAAGAAAAAGGUCACAACUCAUAUUCCUCAUCUUUACACAAUCGCCAAAGGGCUUAGUAUGCAGUAGGCACACAAUAAAGACUUGCAGCAUUGAAUUAGAAAGUUAAAUAAGGGGAUUUGUAAAAUGCUAAGUUUCUUUAGCACUAUUUUACUCAUUGAGCUC